RNAcentral lists this ribosomal RNA (166 nucleotides) under Middelhovenomyces petrohuensis. Its description in RNAcentral is "5.8S ribosomal RNA". It matches the Rfam family "5.8S ribosomal RNA". Rfam says of the family: 5.8S ribosomal RNA (5.8S rRNA) is a component of the large subunit of the eukaryotic ribosome. It is transcribed by RNA polymerase I as part of the 45S precursor that also contains 18S and 28S rRNA. Functionally, it is thought that 5.8S rRNA may be involved in ribosome translocation. Lineage: Eukaryota; Fungi; Ascomycota; Dipodascomycetes; Dipodascales; Dipodascaceae. The record is from RNAcentral.
AAAACUUUCAACAACGGAUCUCUUGGUUCUCGCAUCGAUGAAGAACGCAGCGAAACGCGAUAUGUAAUGUGAAUUGCAGAAUUUUGUGAAUCAUCGAAUCUUUGAACGCACAUUGCGCCCUCUGGUAUUCCGGAGGGCAUAUCUGUUUGAGCGUCAUUUCUUUCUC